GAUGAACGCUGGCGGCGUGCCUAAUACAUGCAAGUCGAGCGAACGGACGAGAAGCUUGCUUCUCUGAUGUUAGCGGCGGACGGGUGAGUAACACGUGGAUAACCUACCUAUAAGACUGGGAUAACUUCGGGAAACCGGAGCUAAUACCGGAUAAUAUUUUGAACCGCAUGGUUCAAAAGUGAAAGACGGUCUUGCUGUCACUUAUAGAUGGAUCCGCGCUGCAUUAGCUAGUUGGUAAGGUAACGGCCUACCAAGGCAACGAUGCAUAGCCGACCUGAGAGGGUGAUCGGCCACACUGGAACUGAGACACGGUCCAGACUCCUACGGGAGGCAGCAGUAGGGAAUCUUCCGCAAUGGGCGAAAGCCUGACGGAGCAACGCCGCGUGAGUGAUGAAGGUCUUCGGAUCGUAAAACUCUGUUAUUAGGGAAGAACAUAUGUGUAAGUAACUGUGCACAUCUUGAUGGUACCUAAUCAGAAAGCCACGGCUAACUACGUG
Molecule: ribosomal RNA, 497 nt
Filed under: uncultured bacterium
Lineage: Bacteria
Description: partial 16S ribosomal RNA
Rfam family: Bacterial small subunit ribosomal RNA
Source: RNAcentral